Molecule: long non-coding RNA, 1529 nt
Organism: Mus musculus (house mouse)
Lineage: Eukaryota; Metazoa; Chordata; Mammalia; Rodentia; Muridae
Product: predicted gene, 29891
Exons: 2
Source: RefSeq, a predicted model, not a curated record
CUGGCAAGCAGGAUAUCUGAUGUUAUUCCUGUGAAAUGGUUGCUCAACACUCCCCCCUAAACCCUGCCAAGGGGGUCGUGAACCAGAUGUUGGGAAACACUGCUCUAAGGAGUCAGGGUGGCCACGGGCCACCUUUGCAUAAGCAGAUAAGUGUGGGUCAGAAGUUAGAAGAGCCAGGCUCAAGUCCCACCCUGACCCUUGCUAGCUGGGCAAUGCCUCUUGGAUGCUCCUCGGUUCUCUUUUCUGUUAAACAAGUGAAGCUCUCCUGCUGGUUCUCCUUCUUGGGCUACAGUGAGAAGCCCAGGCAGCAAUGCAUGGGUAUUUCCAGCAUCACACACCUUCACUCUUCCAGGUAUGCCCCACCCCCUAAACACAAAUGCCCAUUAUUAUAUUAUUCACCUAGCACAGGUGCCUGGCACUUCCUGAAGCUUGCCCUUCACAACCACUAUUUCUCUGUGCCCCUGGUUGGCAAAGCCCACUUCCCUGCCUCAGCAGGACCAUCCACAAAGCUUUGUGCUCUGCAUACUUUACACUACACCAUGCAUAAUAUUUAGAGCAGAUGAGUCCCUGCUGGGCAGUGGGACCUCACAGUCAGGGAGAGUCCUCUCUACUUCCCAAAGAACCUUGGGCUGCUCUAGAGGUUCCAUGGUACACAGACAGCACAGGUUCCAACUGGACUCCACGUUGCCAUCCUUAGCAUGGGUCAUGCCCCUUCUUCCUUUCUCAUAAGGUUGUCAUGAACAUCAAAUGAGUAGACAUCUGUAAAGAGCUCAGAACAAUAUCUGGUAUACAGUAAGAGUUCCUUAAACAUUAGUUGUUAUUAUUGCUUUCUCCUCCUUUUCCUUCCCCCCCCCCACUCCUCCUCCUCAUCAUCAUCAGUCCUCAGGUUUGGAAAACAGCUGCCACUCCUCCAGGCAUCACGUCUCCCUCCCCAGUUGGAAAAGAGGAAAUGCAGAAGAAGAUACUCCCUGAAUCCACGCAGGGCUUGGUUGGCGGGGAUCUGAAGGCCUCUCCUGACUUCCAGGAACACCAGCGUGCAAACAUACAAGCAGGCAUGAUGUCCCGAGAGUUCAGAUGCUGAAGAUGACAUCAUGAUGCCUGUUUGCAAGCUCCUCCUCCAGACACCAUGUGGCUGACAGACCUUCCUCUUUCCUCUUCUUUAUUCGUGUCCUCUUCUGUUUUGUUGAGACAGGGUCUCACACUGUAGCCCAUGCUGACCUUGAAUACUCACCCAUCCUUCUGCCUCAGCUUCCAUGUGACAGGAUCACAGCCAUGAGCUAUCAUUCCUGACGCUUCCAAACUCUGCCCUGACCUCACAGUCCCAGUGAGGCUUAGUCUCACUGCUGGUGGCUCCCCCAUAGAAUCUGCACCCUGUGUCCUCCUCUCCUGAAUGCUUAUUGUCCCUUACAUUUCUCACGGAUUCCAUGCUACCUGUCACUCUCUAGCACGCAGGGCCUCGUUUUACUUAUUUUGUUCUUUACUGUAUGUCUCCAAGUACCUAAUAGAUUUGUAUGCAUGUGUGUGUUGUA